GGGCGCGUAGUGUAGCCUGGUCAACACGUUCCCCUGUCACGGGAAAGAUCACGGGUUCAAAUCCCGUCGCGCCCG
This 75-nucleotide transfer RNA is filed under the name bacterium. Its description in RNAcentral is "tRNA-Asp". It matches the Rfam family "tRNA". From Rfam's summary of the family: Transfer RNA (tRNA) molecules are approximately 80 nucleotides in length. Their secondary structure includes four short double-helical elements and three loops (D, anti-codon, and T loops). The record is from RNAcentral.